RNAcentral lists this ribosomal RNA (468 nucleotides) under uncultured bacterium. RNAcentral describes it as "partial 16S ribosomal RNA". It matches the Rfam family "Bacterial small subunit ribosomal RNA", at positions 28 to 507 of the family's 1533-position model. The record is from RNAcentral.
GAUGAACGCUGGCGGCGUGCUUAACACAUGCAAGUCGAACGGAAAGGUCCUGCGUUUGUGGGGUGCCCGUGUGGCGCACGGGUGAGAGAAACGCGAGUAUACCCCCCUUGUCUUUGGGAUAACUUUUCGAAACUCGGGCUCUAAUCCGGUAGAAGCUUCUGCUCCCUGGUGGGGGUUAGGAAGGUUCGGCGGUUGGGGAUGGACUCGCGGCUUAUCCGCUUGUUGGGGGGGUAGUGGCUUACCAAGGCUUUGACGGGUAGCCGGCCUGAGAGGGUGACCGGCCACAUUGGGACUGAGAUACGGCCCAGACUCCUACGGGAGGCAGCAGUGGGGAAUAUUGCACAAUGGGCGGAAGCCUGAUGCAGCAACGCCGCGUGCGGGAUGACGGCCUUCGGGUUGUAAACCGCUUUCGCCUGUGACGAAGCGUGAGUGACGGUAAUGGGUAAAGAAGCACCGGCUAACUACGUG